This 397-nucleotide ribosomal RNA is filed under the name uncultured bacterium. RNAcentral describes it as "bacterial SSU rRNA". It matches the Rfam family "Bacterial small subunit ribosomal RNA", at positions 28 to 418 of the family's 1533-position model. The record is from RNAcentral.
GAUGAACGCUGGCGGCGUGCCUAAUACAUGCAAGUCGAACGAGGUGCUUUUGUAGCAAUACGAGAGUAUCCUAGUGGCGAACGGGUGAGUAACGCGUGGAUGACCUGCCCCAAAGUGUGGGAUAACAGUCCAAAAGGAUUGCUAAUACCUCAUGUGGUUAUUGGUUUUAGAAAGCGAUAACUAAAGCAGCAAUGCGCUUUGGGAGGGAUCUGCGUCCCAUCAGCUAGUUGGUGAGGUAACGGCUCACCAAGGCGACGACGGGUAGGGGACCUGAGAGGGUGGCCCCCCACAAUGGAACUGAAACACGGUCCAUACACCUACGGGUGGCAGCAGUAGGGAAUAUUGCUCAAUGGGCGAAAGCCUGAAGCAGCAACGCCGCGUGUGCGAUGAAGGCCUU